Molecule: Y RNA, 101 nt
Filed under: Prolemur simus (greater bamboo lemur)
Lineage: Eukaryota; Metazoa; Chordata; Mammalia; Primates; Lemuridae
Description: Y RNA (ENSPSMG00000008023.1)
Rfam family: Y RNA
About the family: Y RNAs are components of the Ro ribonucleoprotein particle (Ro RNP), in association with Ro60 and La proteins. The Y RNAs and Ro60 and La proteins are well conserved, but the function of the Ro RNP is not known. In humans the RNA component can be one of four small RNAs -- hY1, hY3, hY4 and hY5.
Source: Rfam by way of RNAcentral
GGUUGGUCUGAGUACAGUGGUGUUUACAACUAAUUGAUCACAACCAGUUACAGAUUCCUUUGUUCUUCUCCACUCCCACUGCUUUACUUGACCAGCCUUUA